AGCCAUGUGGUGAGCACAAAGCGAACUAUUCUUUCGCCUUUUACUAAAGAAUACCGUGUGCUCUCAAAGCCAAGUGGUAUACGCCUAUUUUUGGAGGGUUCUUACUCAACAGUGAGAC
This 118-nucleotide small nuclear RNA is filed under the name Arabidopsis lyrata subsp. lyrata. Its description in RNAcentral is "snRNA U5". It matches the Rfam family "U5 spliceosomal RNA". Rfam says of the family: U5 RNA is a component of both types of known spliceosome. The precise function of this molecule is unknown, though it is known that the 5' loop is required for splice site selection and p220 binding, and that both the 3' stem-loop and the Sm site are important for Sm protein binding and cap methylation. Lineage: Eukaryota; Viridiplantae; Streptophyta; Magnoliopsida; Brassicales; Brassicaceae. The record is from Rfam by way of RNAcentral.